CUAAAUCAUAAAACAAACCCUAAAAUUCUCUCUCUCUCUCUUCUCUUCCCUUCUCUUCACUCUUUUGUACCCUGUAAGAUUCGCAGCUUGUUUGUGAUUGCCUCCUCGAUCCCUUCCUAGAUUUUUCUCUUACUCGCUGCUACACCAAAACAAAUUAGAGAGUUAAUGAAGGUUGAUGGGAUUACUAAUGAUGAAGUCAAAAGCCAUUUGUAGUGAUCAUGAUUACCAAGGAUACCGAGGACAGGUGACUGCAGCCAACAUGGAGAAUCGUCAUAGAGCUCCACAGAACCUUCAGAGGCCUAACAAGCCCAUCAACUCAGACGAGGCAGCGAUAAUCUAUGGUGGGAUAUCCGUCACAGAAGUGUAUGGUACUCGUACCGGUAAACCGAUCAAUAAUAGGCGUUUUUAUUGAUUGUUAAAUAUCAUGCUUGAACACAUGGUAUGAGAAACAAAUGCCCUAGCUAGUUGUCCUUUUGUUGUUAUAAUAAUUAACCUAGCUCUUCCACAGCUUCAUAAAGCUGUUUACCUGGGAAGAGCUAGUACAAAUUAUGCCCUAGUUCAUCGUUUUCUACUUCCACAUCUUGAAGUUUUAUAUCGUCUGUAUCGUUUUCUAAUGCCCUACUUGUAAUACAGAAGCUUUAUAUAUAUUAUAUAGUGUGUGUCUUGAUGUUUUA
Non-coding RNA from Malus domestica (apple), 674 nucleotides. Lineage: Eukaryota; Viridiplantae; Streptophyta; Magnoliopsida; Rosales; Rosaceae. The record is from RefSeq and is a predicted model, not a curated record.